This 517-nucleotide long non-coding RNA is filed under the name Monodelphis domestica (gray short-tailed opossum). RNAcentral's name for it is "lncRNA (ENSMODG00000045875.1)". Lineage: Eukaryota; Metazoa; Chordata; Mammalia; Didelphimorphia; Didelphidae. The record is from RNAcentral.
AUGAGGAAACUGAGGCUGAAAGAGGUUAAGGGACUUGCCCGAAGUCACAGAGCUAGCAUCUGAGGCUGGAUUCAAACUCAGAUCUUACUGACUCUAAGUAUACCAAUGCUACCCAUGGUGACAUUUACCUGCUUCAUAAAAUGGGAAAAUAAUACUAAGAGGAACCCUAGAAAUAGAAAAGGAGAAAUCAUAUUAAUGUGACCCUUAUCUUCUGUCUUGAAAUCAAUACUUUGUUUUAGUUCUGAGGCAGAAGAGUGGGAAGGGCUAGGCAAUGGGAGUCACACAGCUAGCCCUGGCUCUUAAUCUACUGUGCCAACUACCUGCCACCUCAAGUCUACUGAUGUACGCAGAAUACCAUGGUAUCUCAAAUAAGAGAAUUGAAAGCCAGGGAGGGAACGUUCAGGGUCUGACAGCACAAGCAGAACUGGCACCCAGGUCUAUUCAUUCUCAGUCCAGUUUAGUGCUGAAUUCAAGAUUAGCAUUCUGCUUUUCCAUCUGUGUGGGAAUAGAAAAUUGA